UGGGGAAUAUUGGACAAUGGGCGCAAGCCUGAUCCAGCAAUGCCGCGUGUGUGAAGAAGGUCUUCGGAUUGUAAAGCACUUUCGGCGGGGACGAUGAUGACGGUACCCGCAGAAGAAGCCCCGGCUAACUUCGUGCCAGCAGCCGCGGUAAUACGAAGGGGGCUAGCGUUGCUCGGAAUGACUGGGCGUAAAGGGCGCGUAGGCGGAAGUUACAGUCAGGCGUGAAAUUCCUGGGCUUAACCUGGGGGCUGCGUUUGAUACGUGACAUCUAGAGUGGGGAAGAGGGUUGUGGAAUUCCCAGUGUAGAGGUGAAAUUCGUAGAUAUUGGGAAGAACACCGGUGGCGAAGGCGGCAACCUGGUCCUUGACUGACGCUGAGGCGCGAAAGCGUGGGGAGCAAACAGGAUUAGAUACCCCCGUAGUCC
Molecule: ribosomal RNA, 424 nt
Filed under: uncultured bacterium
Lineage: Bacteria
Description: bacterial SSU rRNA
Rfam family: Bacterial small subunit ribosomal RNA
Source: RNAcentral